RNAcentral lists this long non-coding RNA (1772 nucleotides) under Phasianus colchicus (ring-necked pheasant). RNAcentral describes it as "lncRNA (ENSPCLG00000009169.1)". Lineage: Eukaryota; Metazoa; Chordata; Aves; Galliformes; Phasianidae. The record is from RNAcentral.
GUUUAACCCUGAUCUGCAAUGAAGGCAACCCACAAGACCCAAUCUUCUUGUAGGGAUGCAAGAAGUGGCCAAGUUCAGACAUUUGCUCUCUGCAGAACACAAUGUUCACUGGCCACACACAUCUAAUGAGUGAAGAGUGACUUUCAGCAUUCUGCUAGUAAAAUGGGACAAGUUUCAGGCAUGGAUAGUAGGAAAGUGUCUUCACUUCAGUGUUUUGCUCAGUCUGUUAGAAUGUGGGAAUUUGCCCUAGGACAUCCCGUUGGACAAAGUGUGGAUACUGUUAUGUCACAAGCAAGAAGCUUCCAGAGAAAGCUUUGGUCUAUAGCCUUAGAUUGUCAAAGAUGUUUUGAAGGGUAGCACCAGAAGCUGGCAUCUGGAGUGUAGAAACUUAAAUGCCUUUGAUGCUGUUCUGUCACUUCUGUGGUGACAAGCCCAGAGCUGUAGAUGUUUUAUUGCAAAAUGCUUCCUUAGAGGAAUGUGUUAAAGGACUGCAUAAUCUGGGGGGCAAUAGAAAGAAAAUAAAACAUAGGUUGGAUGCAAAUCCCAAGGCACCAUGUUGAGCUCUGGCAAGUAGAUUCAGCCCAACCUGUGUGCAGGUACUUCCCAGCCAAGAGAAAUCACCUUUCAAGGACGAGGCUCAUCACUCCCUCGCAUGCAGAGAAGCUGCCAGCAGGAGGAACCUGUUUUCAUUUGUGUGUUUUCGUGAGAUUGUGGCAUGAGGUUAACUCAUGUAGGAUUUACCAGAUGUCUCUUUGUGGAGUGGGCUGCUUUGAGAGCAGAAGCGUUCUUCAGUCUAUACGUAAAUGCAUGCAUGAGUCAUACACCUGCAUAUGCUCCUUUUUUCCAAGGACGCUGUGCCCUGUGGAGGUGGGGGUGCUCCUUUCUUACCUGGAGAAUUUCACAUCAUAGCAGACUAUCAGAAGAACGGAGAAGAGGGAAUGCUUCAACUUUGCUUUAAAGCUGCCUACCUCUUAGUCUGUCUGGUGGGUCAGAUAAGACCUGUCUAAUCUUGCAUUAAAAAAAAAAAGUUUUACCAGUGCAUGACUUUUUUUUUCUCUUUUUAGUUUCCUGUGACAUUUACUAAAAGAAGGUAUUGCACUCUUUAAGUGCUUGCAAAAAAGGAGAAAAAAAAAACCAAAAAACAAUUCUCUGGCUUAUUUCCUGUCAAAGGAGAAUAGAUGGGAUGAAGGGAGAACUGUCUGAACCAAGACAGAGGCUUCCUUUCUCAUUGCAAUGGGGGCAGUUCAGCUGGCCAUGCUCAUGACAGUCAGCUCUUCUCAGCAUCAGAGAAGACCGGAGAACUGGAGGAGAUGUCCCCCAUGAACUGUGCAGAGUACCCAGUGCUGAAAAUAGCACGUGUAGGGACAGUGGCCUUUGCAGGUUGUCUUGGGAACUGAGGGCAGCAGUGAGGAGUGGGGUCCAUCCCUCCCAGCUGAGUGCUGAGCAAAGACUGAAGUUCAUGGUGACAGAUGCUUUGGAUCUGAUAUUUCUCACUGCCGUCGAGUUCUCUGAUUGAUUUGCCUAGCUUGCCAUGAUGAAAUCAUUAAUCUUGACACUUGCUGCAGCCCAAACUUUGGCACACCGGAGUCCUUUUUUUCUGCACCUGCCAACAGGCAGGUCGGACAGCAGGAUUUUCACGCUCCAAGAAAGCUAUGGACAGGAUUUCUAAGAAAGGAUUGACAGAAGGCCACUAAAGAGAACAGAUCAGGAGAUGUCCUGCCUUAGGAGGGACUGGAGAGAAUAAACUUGUUUCUUGGAGUGAAAGGAAAACA